This 1507-nucleotide ribosomal RNA is filed under the name uncultured prokaryote. Its description in RNAcentral is "partial 16S ribosomal RNA". It matches the Rfam family "Bacterial small subunit ribosomal RNA". The record is from RNAcentral.
AGAGUUUGAUCAUGGCUCAGAUUGAACGCUGGCGGCAGGCCUAACACAUGCAAGUCGAGCGAGAAAGCACUUCGGUGUGAGUAGAGCGGCGGACGGGGGAGUAACGCGUAGGAAUUUGCGGAAUUCGCCCAAUAGUGGGGGACAACAUGUGGAAACGCAUGCUAAUACCGAAUACGCCCUACGGGGGAAAGCAGGGGAUCUUCGGACCUUGCGCGCUAUUGGAGAAGCCUGCGUCGGAUUAGCUAGUUGGUGAGGUAAUGGCUCACCAAGGCGACGAUCCGUAGCUGGUCUGAGAGGAUGAUCAGCCACACUGGGACUGAGACACGGCCCAGACUCCUACGGUAGGCAGCAGUGGGGAAUAUUGGACAAUGGGCGAAAGCCUGAUCAAGCCAUGCCGCGUGUGUGAAGAAGGCCACAGCGUUGUAAAGCACUUUCAGUUGGGAGGAAAAGUAGCAGUUUAAUACGCUGUUGCCCUGACGUUACCAACAGAAGAAGCACCGGCUAACUCCGUGCCAGCAGCCGCGGUAAUACGGAGGGUGCAAGCGUUAAUCGGAAUUACUGGGCGUAAAGCGCGCGUAGGUGGUUUGUUAAGCGAGAUGUGAAAGCCCCGGGCUCAACCUGGGAACUGCAUUUCGAACUGGCAGGCUAGAGUAUGGUAGAGGUAAGUGGAAUUUCCUGUGUAGCGGUGAAAUGCGUAGAUAUAGGAAGGAACACCAGUGGCGAAGGCGACUUACUGGACCAAUACUGACACUGAGGUGCGAAAGCGUGGGGAGCAAACGGGAUUAGAUCCCCCGGUAGUCCACGCCGUAAACGAUGUCUACUAGCCGUUGGGAGACUUGAUCUUAGUGGCGCAGCUAACGCAAUAAGUAGACCGCCUGGGGAGUACGGCCGCAAGGUUAAAACUCAAAUGAAUUGACGGGGGCCCGCACAAGCGGUGGAGCAUGUGGUUUAAUUCGACGCAACGCGAAGAACCUUACCUACUCUUGACAUCCUCGGAACUUGGCAGAGAUGCUUUUGGUGCUUCGGGAACUGAGUGACAGGUGCUGCAUGGCUGUCGUCAGCUCGUGUCGUGAGAUGUUGGGUUAAGUCCCGUAACGAGCGCAACCCUUGUCCUUAUUUGCCAGCACGUAAUGGUGGGAACUCUAAGGAUACUGCCGGUGACAAACCGGAGGAAGGGGGGCACGACGUCAAGUCAUCAUGGCCCUUACGAGUAGGGCUACACACGUGCUACAAUGGCUGGUACAAACGGUUGCAAUCUCGCGAGGGUGAGCUAAUCUGAGAAAGCCAGUCGUAGUCCGGAUCGGAGUCUGCAACUCGACUCCGUGAAGUCGGAAUCGCUAGUAAUCGUGAAUCAGAAUGUCACGGUGAAUACGUUCCCGGGCCUUGUACACCCCGCCCUUCACACCAUGGGAGUGGAUUGCACCAGAAGUAGGUAGUUUAACCUUUGGGGGGGCGCUUACCACGGUGUGCUCAAUGACUGGGGUGAAGUCGUAACAAGGUAACCGUA